Molecule: ribosomal RNA, 390 nt
Filed under: uncultured bacterium
Lineage: Bacteria
Description: bacterial SSU rRNA
Rfam family: Bacterial small subunit ribosomal RNA
Source: RNAcentral
GAUGAACGCUAGCGGCAGGCCUAACACAUGCAAGUCGAGGGGUAUAAAAGAGCUUGCUUUUUAGAGACCGGCAAACGGGUGCGGAACACGUACGCAAUCUGCCCUUAUCACGGGGAUAGCCCAGAGAAAUUUGGAUUAAUACCCGAUAGUAUUAUAAUAAGGCAUCUUGUUGUAAUUAAAAGCUAUGGCGGAUAAGGAUGAGCGUGCGCAAGAUUAGCUAGUUGGUGAGGUAACGGCUCACCAAGGCGACGAUCUUUAGCUGAUGUGAGAGCAUGAUCAGCCACACGGGCACUGAGACACGGGCCCGACUCCUACGGGAGGCAGCAGUGAGGAAUAUUGGUCAAUGGACGGAAGUACUGAACCAAGCCAUGCCGCCGUGAAGGAAUGAAC